Molecule: transfer RNA, 106 nt
Filed under: Chlamydomonas reinhardtii
Lineage: Eukaryota; Viridiplantae; Chlorophyta; Chlorophyceae; Chlamydomonadales; Chlamydomonadaceae
Rfam family: tRNA
About the family: Transfer RNA (tRNA) molecules are approximately 80 nucleotides in length.
Source: Rfam by way of RNAcentral
GGCGAGGUGGCCGAGCGGUCUAAGGCGCUAGUUUCAGGCACAAACCAGAUUUCUGGUGGGAAGCUACUAGUCCGAAAGGGCGUGAGUUCAAAUCUCACCCUCGUCA